AGCCUUUAGCAAAACAAGUAUUAAAGGUGACGCCUGCCCAGUGAAAUUUUAACGGCCGCGGUAUCCUAACCGUGCAAAGGUAGCGUAAUCACUUGUCUUAUAAAUAAAGACCCGUAUGAAUGGCUAAAUGAAUAUUUAACUGUCUCCUUUAACUAAUCAGUGAAACUGAUCUCUCAGUACAAAAGCUGAAAUAUAAACAUAAGACGAGAAGACCCCGUGGAGCUUUAAACUUUUAACAAGAUAGAACAAAACAGGUAUUUAUGAUAAAAAGUUUUUAGUUGGGGCGACUUUGGAGUAAAACUAAACCUCCAAAAAAGGCAUCGCCUAUUCAAGGCUAACAAGCCAAACUAUAAAGACCCAGCACAUACUAACGCUGAUCAACGAACCAAGUUACCCCGGGGAUAACAGCGCCAUCUUCUUCAAGAGUUCAUAUCGACAAGAAGGUUUACGACCUCGAUGUUGGAUCAGGACACCCAAAUGGUGCAGCCGCUAUUAAAG
RNAcentral lists this ribosomal RNA (498 nucleotides) under Anolis capito. RNAcentral describes it as "partial 16S ribosomal RNA". It matches the Rfam family "Bacterial large subunit ribosomal RNA", at positions 1817 to 2570 of the family's 2925-position model. Lineage: Eukaryota; Metazoa; Chordata; Lepidosauria; Squamata; Anolidae. The record is from RNAcentral.